RNAcentral lists this long non-coding RNA (232 nucleotides) under Eucalyptus grandis. Its description in RNAcentral is "long non-coding RNA (EGRA_LNC001048)". The record is from RNAcentral. Lineage: Eukaryota; Viridiplantae; Streptophyta; Magnoliopsida; Myrtales; Myrtaceae.
CCGCGUGGCUGCGAGUUCACGAGGUCUCCAUUCUCUUUUUGUUGUUUUCCUUACUCCACAGGGCGAAUGGUCCUUGUCGGACCGCAGAAGUCAGCAUCCGGCCUUUUCGUGAUUCUGCUUGCGCCCGAUGAAAGCGAAGCCUGAAUGUCUUUUGCCCUUAGUGAAAAUCGAGUUACCGGUUGUGACGUGGAGAGGGUCCAUGAAAUUUGCAAUUAUUCUAAAGGGAUCUCUC